UUCUUAUCAAGAGAGACGGAGGGACUGGCCCGAAGAUGUCUCGGCAGCGGACUUAAAUGGAGUGCUGUGCCAAAUCCAGCAGGCUGAUUGUCGCCUGAAAGAUAAGGA
Molecule: non-coding RNA, 108 nt
Organism: Bacillus sp. FJAT-22058
Lineage: Bacteria; Bacillati; Bacillota; Bacilli; Caryophanales; Bacillaceae
Source: Rfam